Molecule: long non-coding RNA, 751 nt
Organism: Chrysemys picta bellii (western painted turtle)
Lineage: Eukaryota; Metazoa; Chordata; Testudines; Emydidae
Source: RefSeq, a predicted model, not a curated record
CUAAACCCCCAAGGUACCUCCCCAUGUGGGAGAGGGGAAGGCUGGUUAAAAACCUCCAGCACCCGCCAGUCGCUCACAAAACCCCCAGCCCCACACGAGGCCGAGGCCCCUCUCCCAGGGGAAUCUGUGGCACAGCCCGAGAGUCCCGGGAGGAGACGCAGCCCGAGGAGACGAUGAGGCGUUUGUGGCUGGUGCUGCUGCUGGUUCUGGCGCUGGCCGGGGCUGCCCUGGCUGGGCCCAUCCUGCAGCAGCCGCUGGGCGUGGAGGGUCCCGGCGCGGUGGCAGCGCGUGAUGGGGCGUCACCCCAACGGCAGCCGCUGGGCAGGAGAGUGAGACGGGCCACGCAGGCACCAAAGACCAUAGAUUGGCUACCUGGCAGCCUCUCGGUGGUACACCAUCCCAUUGGGGUGAAAAUCAUUCAUGUGCCCAGACGCCACGCCUAGGGAGGGGACGGCACCUCCAGUCACUCCCCUCUGGCUGGGCCCAGCUGGCCUCCCCUCCCCCACCCGUUCCCUGGCACUGCUGAGCUGUCGGCGAAGGUUACACGUCAGGAGUGAGCUUGCUGCUGGCUGCGGGGUACAGAAGCUCCCAGCCCCUGCCGAGCGCUGCGGGCGGAGGCCAGGACUGGGCCCUGUCGGUCGUGGGAUUCUCAGUCCCUCCGUGCCGGGCGAUGAACCCGCUUUGCUGAGCCUGGAGCUUCCCGUGUCUUUUCCAUUUAUUCACUUGCACCAAUAAAAGCAGGAACCUCUGA